AGCACAAUGGAUGGGACACAGAUUGUUGGUGCUCAGCUUCAGAUGAAGAUGCAUAGAAGGAUUAACAUUUGCACUGAAUUUGGAAGUCACAGAGAUGACUGACAUGUAGGAAAGGAAGGAUAUAAGAUCAGUCUUCAAACUACAAAGUCAACUAAAACUACUAAGGACUCAUCAUUUCAGGGACUAGUGAG
This is a long non-coding RNA of Dipodomys spectabilis (banner-tailed kangaroo rat), 191 nucleotides long. RefSeq lists it as uncharacterized. The record is from RefSeq and is a predicted model, not a curated record. Lineage: Eukaryota; Metazoa; Chordata; Mammalia; Rodentia; Heteromyidae. The transcript has 2 exons.